CCUACGGGAGACAGCAGUCGAGAAUCAUUCACAAUGGGGGAAACCCUGAUGGUGCGACGCCGCGUGGGGGAAUGAAGGUCUUCGGAUGGUAAACCCCUGUCAUGUGGGAGCAAAUUAAAAAGAUAGUACCACAAGAGGAAGAGACGGCUAACUCCGUGCCAGCAGCCGCGGUAAUACAGAGGUCUCAAGCGUUGUUCGGAAUCACUGGGCGUAAAGGGUGCGUAGGCUGUUUCGUAAGUCGGGGGUGAAAGGCGCGGGCUCAACCCGGGGACGGCAGAUGGAACUGCGAGACUAGAGUGAUGGAGGGGGAGGCGGAAUUCGCGGUGUAGCAGUGAAAUGCGUAGAUAUCGAGAGGAACACUCGUGGCGAAGGCGGGUUCCUGGACAGUAACUGACGCUGAGGCACGAAGGCGAUGGGAGCGAAAGGGAUUAGAUACCCCUGUAGUC
Molecule: ribosomal RNA, 446 nt
Filed under: uncultured bacterium
Lineage: Bacteria
Description: partial 16S ribosomal RNA
Rfam family: Bacterial small subunit ribosomal RNA
Source: RNAcentral